This 490-nucleotide ribosomal RNA is filed under the name uncultured Microbacterium sp. Its description in RNAcentral is "bacterial SSU rRNA". It matches the Rfam family "Bacterial small subunit ribosomal RNA", at positions 8 to 507 of the family's 1533-position model. Lineage: Bacteria; Bacillati; Actinomycetota; Actinomycetes; Micrococcales; Microbacteriaceae. The record is from RNAcentral.
AGAGUUUGAUCCUGGCUCAGGAUGAACGCUGGCGGCGUGCUUAACACAUGCAAGUCGAACGGUGAACACGGAGCUUGCUCUGUGGGAUCAGUGGCGAACGGGUGAGUAACACGUGAGCAACCUGCCCCUGACUCUGGGAUAAGCGCUGGAAACGGCGUCUAAUACUGGAUACGAGUAGCGACCGCAUGGUCAGUUACUGGAAAGAUUUAUUGGUUGGGGAUGGGCUCGCGGCCUAUCAGCUUGUUGGUGAGGGUAAUGGCUCACCAAGGCGUCGACGGGUAGCCGGCCUGAGAGGGUGACCGGCCACACUGGGACUGAGACACGGCCCAGACUCCUACGGGAGGCAGCAGUGGGGAAUAUUGCACAAUGGACGCAAGCCUGAUGCAGCAACGCCGCGUGAGGGAUGACGGCCUUCGGGUUGUAAACCUCUUUUAGCAGGGAAGAAGCGAAAGUGACGGUACCUGCAGAAAAAGCGCCGGCUAACUACGUG